Molecule: long non-coding RNA, 314 nt
Organism: Centrocercus urophasianus (Greater sage-grouse)
Lineage: Eukaryota; Metazoa; Chordata; Aves; Galliformes; Phasianidae
Exons: 3
Source: RefSeq, a predicted model, not a curated record
CUCAUCCGUGCUUCCCACAGGUGGCGUUGGCUUUGCCUUCUCGGAAAAAAAAAGGUGCCCGCAGCCUGCUUACCCCCACUGCAGGAUCAAGAUUCCCUGCAAUUAAUUCCCUGAGUGCUGACCUCUACGUCCCAGUGAGAAUCCAUCCACGUUAAGGAACUUUCCUCUUGAAGUGAACAAAUGUGCAAGGUAAAUAACAGAGAAUAUAAAUCCUAUGGUACUGCACGUUUUAAUGGAAGCAGUCUCAUGGUGGAGAUAAGAAGAUGGAAGGCUACUGAAAAUUUGUAAGUGAAAUUGACAUAAACUAAUUUCCA